GGAGGAAAAGAAAUCAAAUGAGAUUUCCAUAGUAGCUGCGAGUGAACUGGAACUAAGCCUAUUGCCAAUUCUUAUGUUUUGUACAAUAAGAAAUGAGGUGUAAAAGUGUUUCGUGUUUAAUAGGAGUACAGCUUAAUUAUUAUUGAGUGGGUGCUCAGAGAAGGUGAAAAGCCUGUGAGGUUGUACUAUCCUGAUGAACCGAAGCUCUAGAGAGUCUAGUUGUUUGACAGUACAACUUAAAGAUGGUGGUAAAUUUCAUCAAAGGCUAAAUAUAUGAAGGGACUAAUAACGAACAAGUACCAUGAGGGAAAGUUGAAAAGAACUCUGACGAGAGAGUUCAACAGUACGUGAAACCAUAAUGAGUAAAACAGAUAACUGUGCUGUAAAGUGGUGUGCCUAUCAACAGGGUAGUUGGUUAUGUGAUGCCUUGAGCGUAAGUUGUCCAUUCAACCGAUUGCUCUUGGUUAGCCCUGCCAAAGACUCUGUGCACUAGUGCACACUCAUUCAUUGAGAAACUAUGCCGCUGCGGCAUCCAUAUGGAACAGCUCGUACGUAAUGCGAUGAUCUGUGUCGGGCGUCAUCUAGCCGGUGUAGUUUAGCUGUGGGACAACCUACAGCCUGCGUUUACUAAAUGUAACUGCUGUAUCUGCGAUUUGGUUUAUUCCU
Molecule: ribosomal RNA, 666 nt
Filed under: Varroa destructor (honeybee mite)
Lineage: Eukaryota; Metazoa; Arthropoda; Arachnida; Mesostigmata; Varroidae
Description: partial large subunit ribosomal RNA
Rfam family: Eukaryotic large subunit ribosomal RNA
Source: RNAcentral